This 457-nucleotide ribosomal RNA is filed under the name uncultured bacterium. RNAcentral's name for it is "bacterial SSU rRNA". It matches the Rfam family "Bacterial small subunit ribosomal RNA", at positions 73 to 518 of the family's 1533-position model. The record is from RNAcentral.
AGGGUAGCAAUACCGCUGACGACCGGCGCACGGGUGAGUAACGCGUAUGCAACCUGCCUAUAACUGGGGAAUAGCUCCCUGAAAGGGGGAAGUUAACACCGCAUAACACUAUUGAUUCGCAUGGAUUAGUAGUUAAAUGUAGCGAUACAGGUUAUAGAUGGGCAUGCGUGACAUUAGCUAGUUGGUGAGGUAACGGCUCACCAAGGCUACGAUGUCUAGGGGUUCUGAGAGGAAGGUCCCCCCACACUGGUACUGAGACACGGACCAGACUCCUACGGGAGGCAGCAGUGAGGAAUAUUGGUCAAUGGGCGCAAGCCUGAACCAGCCAUGUCGCGUGCAGGAAGAACCUGCCCUAUGGGUUGUAAACUGUCUUUUAUAGUAGAAGAAACACAUCUACGUGUAGAUGUCUGCCAGUAUACUAUGAAUAAGCAUCGGCUAACUCCGUGCCAGCCGCCGC